UAGGGAAUCUUCCGCAAUGGGCGAAAGCCUGACGGAGCAACGCCGCGUGAGUGAUGAAGGUCUUCGGAUCGUAAAACUCUGUUAUUAGGGAAGAACAAAUGUGUAAGUAACUAUGCACGUCUUGACGGUACCUAAUCAGAAAGCCACGGCUAACUACGUGCCAGCAGCCGCGGUAAUACGUAGGUGGCAAGCGUUAUCCGGAAUUAUUGGGCGUAAAGCGCGCGUAGGCGGUUUUUUAAGUCUGAUGUGAAAGCCCACGGCUCAACCGUGGAGGGAUAGUGGAAUCUGGAAAUCUUGAGUGCAGAAGAGGAAAGUGGAAUUCCAUGUGUAGCGGUGAAAUGCGCAGGGAUAUGGAGGAACACCAGUAGCGAAGGCGACUUUCUGGUCUGCAACUGACGCUGAUGUGCGAAAGCGUGGGGAUCAAACAGG
RNAcentral lists this ribosomal RNA (429 nucleotides) under Actinomycetes bacterium. RNAcentral describes it as "Actinobacteria bacterium partial 16S ribosomal RNA". It matches the Rfam family "Bacterial small subunit ribosomal RNA", at positions 355 to 776 of the family's 1533-position model. The record is from RNAcentral. Lineage: Bacteria; Bacillati; Actinomycetota; Actinomycetes.